RNAcentral lists this ribosomal RNA (1372 nucleotides) under uncultured bacterium. Its description in RNAcentral is "bacterial SSU rRNA". It matches the Rfam family "Bacterial small subunit ribosomal RNA", at positions 28 to 1381 of the family's 1533-position model. The record is from RNAcentral.
GAUGAACGCUGGCGGCGUGCCUAAUACAUGCAAGUCGAGCGAACGGACGAGAAGCUUGCUUCUCUGAUGUUAGCGGCGGACGGGUGAGUAACACGUGGAUAACCUACCUAUAAGACUGGGAUAACUUCGGGAAACCGGAGCUAAUACCGGAUAAUAUUUUGAACCGCAUGGUUCAAAAGUGAAAGACGGUCUUGCUGUCACUUAUAGAUGGAUCCGCGCUGCAUUAGCUAGUUGGUAAGGUAACGGCUUACCAAGGCAACGAUGCAUAGCCGACCUGAGAGGGUGAUCGGCCACACUGGAACUGAGACACGGUCCAGACUCCUACGGGAGGCAGCAGUAGGGAAUCUUCCGCAAUGGGCGAAAGCCUGACGGAGCAACGCCGCGUGAGUGAUGAAGGUCUUCGGAUCGUAAAACUCUGUUAUUAGGGAAGAACAUAUGUGUAAGUAACUGUGCACAUCUUGACGGUACCUAAUCGGAAAGCCACGGCUAACUACGUGCCAGCAGCCGCGGUAAUACGUAGGUGGCAAGCGUUAUCCGGAAUUAUUGGGCGUAAAGCGCGCGUAGGCGGUUUUUUAAGUCUGAUGUGAAAGCCCACGGCUCAACCGUGGAGGGUCAUUGGAAACUGGAAAACUUGAGUGCAGAAGAGGAAAGUGGAAUUCCAUGUGUAGCGGUGAAAUGCGCAGAGAUAUGGAGGAACACCAGUGGCGAAGGCGACUUUCUGGUCUGUAACUGACGCUGAUGUGCGAAAGCGUGGGGAUCAAACAGGAUUAGAUACCCUGGUAGUCCACGCCGUAAACGAUGAGUGCUAAGUGUUAGGGGGUUUCCGCCCCUUAGUGCUGCAGCUAACGCAUUAAGCACUCCGCCUGGGGAGUACGACCGCAAGGUUGAAACUCAAAGGAAUUGACGGGGACCCGCACAAGCGGUGGAGCAUGUGGUUUAAUUCGAAGCAACGCGAAGAACCUUACCAAAUCUUGACAUCCUUUGACAACUCCAGAGAUAGAGCUUUCCCCUUCGGGGGACAAAGUGACAGGUGGUGCAUGGUUGUCGUCAGCUCGUGUCGUGAGAUGUUGGGUUAAGUCCCGCAACGAGCGCAACCCUUAAGCUUAGUUGCCAUCAUUAAGUUGGGCACUCUAAGUUGACUGCCGGUGACAAACCGGAGGAAGGUGGGGAUGACGUCAAAUCAUCAUGCCCCUUAUGAUUUGGGCUACACACGUGCUACAAUGGACAAUACAAAGGGCAGCGAAACCGUGAGGUCAAGCAAAUCCCAUAAAGUUGUUCUCAGUUCGGAUUGUAGUCUGCAACUCGACUACAUGAAGCUGGAAUCGCUAGUAAUCGUAGAUCAGCAUGCUACGGUGAAUACGUUCCCGGGUCU